ACUUUGUAACUAAAACAGGGGUGUGUUUUUUUUCACAUGUCGCACCGUAUCUCAAAAACGUUUCUUGAUUAUUGCUUAAAACUUUACACACUUCUUAGUUAUAUUAAUCUUAAUAUCUGUAUACUUUUUGGUGAUGAUUCAAAAUUUCAUUUUUGAGUUUUUGAGUAUUUUGUAAAAAAGGGGGAGGGUUAUUUUACAUGUCGCGCUGUAUCUCAAAAACGAUUUAUGAUUAUUGCUUAAAACUUUACACACUUCUUUUUUAUAUUAAUCUAAAGAUCAGUAUACUUUUUGGUGAUGAUUCAAAAUUUCAUUUUUGAGUUAUUGAGUAUUUUGUAAAAAAGGGGGAGGUUUUUUUUACAUGUUGUGCCGUAUCUCAAAAACGAUUUAUGAUUAUUGCUUAAAACUUUACACACUUCUUUGUUAUAUUAAUCUAAAGAUCUGUAUACUUUUUGGUGAUGACUCAAAAUUUUAUUUUUGAGUUAUUGAGUAUUUUAAAAAAGGUGAAGGUUUUUUUUACAUGUCGCGCCGUAUCUCAAAAACAAUUUAUGAUUAUUGCUUGAAACUGUACACACUUCUUUGUUAUACUAAUUUAAAGAUCUGUAUACUUUUUGGUUUGAUUCAAAAUUUUAUUUUAGUGAUAUUUGUAAAAAAAAAAAACAGGGGGGGGGGGUGGCUUUCACAUGUCCCGCCAUGUCUCAAAAACAAUAAAUGGUUAUUGCUUAAAACUUCCUCAGAAACUAUUUAUGAUUAUUGCAUAAAACUUCCACACAAGACGUCGGGCGUAUCAUGCGCUCAUGGCGCAGCUGUUUAUUCUUGUUUGGUUUAU
This 826-nucleotide long non-coding RNA is filed under the name Mytilus galloprovincialis (Mediterranean mussel). Lineage: Eukaryota; Metazoa; Mollusca; Bivalvia; Mytilida; Mytilidae. The record is from RNAcentral.